AAUAGAUACCCAGGUAGUCCACGCCGUAAACGAUGAGUGCUAAGUGUUAGAGGGUUUCCGCCCUUUAGUGCUGCAGCUAACGCAUUAAGCACUCCGCCUGGGGAGUACGGCCGCAAGGCUGAAACUCAAAGGAAUUGACGGGGGCCCGCACAAGCGGUGGAGCAUGUGGUUUAAUUCGAAGCAACGCGAAGAACCUUACCAGGUCUUGACAUCCUCUGCUAACCCUAGAGAUAGGGCGUUCCCCUUCGGGGGACAGAGUGACAGGUGGUGCAUGGUUGUCGUCAGCUCGUGUCGUGAGAUGUUGGGUUAAGUCCCGCAACGAGCGCAACCCUUGACCUUAGUUGCCAGCAUUCAGUUGGGCACUCUAAGGUGACUGCCGGUGACAAACCGGAGGAAGGUGGGGAUGACGUCAAAUCAUCAUGCCCCUUAUGACCUGGGCUACACACGUGCUACAAUGGAUGGUACAAAGGGCUGCGAGACCGCGAGGUUAGGCCAAUCCCAUAAAAUCAUUCUCAGUUCGGAUUGCAGG
RNAcentral lists this ribosomal RNA (529 nucleotides) under uncultured bacterium. RNAcentral describes it as "bacterial SSU rRNA". It matches the Rfam family "Bacterial small subunit ribosomal RNA", at positions 777 to 1304 of the family's 1533-position model. The record is from RNAcentral.